RNAcentral lists this ribosomal RNA (1018 nucleotides) under uncultured bacterium. RNAcentral's name for it is "bacterial SSU rRNA". It matches the Rfam family "Bacterial small subunit ribosomal RNA", at positions 357 to 1376 of the family's 1533-position model. The record is from RNAcentral.
AGGAAUAUUGGUCAAUGGCCGAGAGGCUGAACCAGCCAAGUCGCGUGAAGGAAGAAGGAUCUAUGGUUUGUAAACUUCUUUUAUAGGGGAAUAAAGUGGAGGACGUGUCCUUUUUUGUAUGUACCCUAUGAAUAAGCAUCGGCUAACUCCGUGCCAGCAGCCGCGGUAAUACGGAGGAUGCGAGCGUUAUCCGGAUUUAUUGGGUUUAAAGGGUGCGUAGGUGGUGAUUUAAGUCAGCGGUGAAAGUUUGUGGCUCAACCAUAAAAUUGCCGUUGAAACUGGGUUACUUGAGUGUGUUUGAGGUAGGCGGAAUGCGUGGUGUAGCGGUGAAAUGCAUAGAUAUCACGCAGAACUCCGAUUGCGAAGGCAGCUUACUAAACCAUAACUGACACUGAAGCACGAAAGCGUGGGGAUCAAACAGGAUUAGAUACCCUGGUAGUCCACGCAGUAAACGAUGAUUACUAGGAGUUUGCGAUACAAUGUAAGCUCUACAGCGAAAGCGUUAAGUAAUCCACCUGGGGAGUACGCCGGCAACGGUGAAACUCAAAGGAAUUGACGGGGGCCCGCACAAGCGGAGGAACAUGUGGUUUAAUUCGAUGAUACGCGAGGAACCUUACCCGGGUUUGAACGUAGUCUGACCGGAGUGGAAACACUCCUUCUAGCAAUAGCAGAUUACGAGGUGCUGCAUGGUUGUCGUCAGCUCGUGCCGUGAGGUGUCGGCUUAAGUGCCAUAACGAGCGCAACCCUUAUCACUAGUUACUAACAGGUGAAGCUGAGGACUCUGGUGAGACUGCCAGCGUAAGCUGUGAGGAAGGUGGGGAUGACGUCAAAUCAGCACGGCCCUUACAUCCGGGGCGACACACGUGUUACAAUGGCAUGGACAAAGGGCAGCUACCUGGCGACAGGAUGCUAAUCUCCAAACCAUGUCUCAGUUCGGAUCGGAGUCUGCAACUCGACUCCGUGAAGCUGGAUUCGCUAGUAAUCGCGCAUCAGCCAUGGCGCGGUGAAUACGUUCCCG